UUCUUGUCUUCAGACCCUUCAGUAUUGAGCUCUAAAUUGACCUCUUCAAUCUAGGGAUGUCAUUGCACUGUAGGACAACAUUCUCUAUCAUUUUCAGUGCAUUAGCUCCCUUUUCUCAUACCCAGUAUUCACCUGUCCCUAUUCUAUUAAGAAAUGCCUUUAAGCCUUAAGCUUGCUCUGUACAUUCCAAGCUCAUGGCCCAAAGGAAAAAAAAUCAAGACUUCACUGUAGGUGCCAGCCUAGUUAAUUUCAAGCACUAAGAACCACAUAUAGGGCUUGUACUGCGUGGCUUUGUGGGUCAACUUGAUAUAAACUAGAAUCAUCAGAAAGGAAGGAACCACAGUUGAGGAAAUGCCUCCAUGAGAUCCAGCUCUAAGGCAUUUUCUCAAUUAGUGACCAAUGGGGGAGGACACACCCCAUGGUGGGUGUACCAUCCCUAGGUCCUGGGUUCUAUAAGAAAACAAGUUGAGCAAGCCAGGAGAAGCCAAUAAGCAACACCUCUUCAUGGACUCUGCAUCAACUCUUGCCUGUGGAUCCUGCCCUUUUUGAGUUCCUAUCCUGACUUCCUUCAGUGAUGAACAGCAAUGAGGGAGAGUGAACCAAAUAAACAUUUUCCUCACCCCCCUGCUUUUUUGUCAUGGUGUUUUGCUGCAGCCAUAGAAACCCUCGCUAAGACACGUUGGUGCCAGCACAAUGGUGCAUCACUCUGACAGAUCUGAUGAUUUGGGGAGGUUUCUGGAAAGACUCUGCAACUUUGGGCUAGAAAAGCCAUUGCAUUGAGUGUUAAGAGCUCGGUGGGACUUUCUGUGAGAACCUGGAAGGUAAGAAUGUUGAGAUCACUACGGAGCAUGGAGGCCAGCGUGGGGAGUCCCAGAGGGAGGUUUAAAGGCUGUCAGGGCCAUUUGUUAUUUUGAAUUAAGAUUCUGUGGUUCUGGUUAGCUGGGGCUGAAAAAUCAGCUGUGAUUAAAAGAUAGCAGAACCACUAAAGUGAAAUCUCUUUGUUACUAGGACAAUUGAUACUGUUAGCUGAACUGAUUAAGAAGAGACCAGCACCCCUGGUAAAAUCUAAUGGGAAGUUUUUUCUGACAGCAGAGAAAAGCUGUGUUCCAGAGACAGCCAUGGCUGUACCUUGUGUUGGCAGCAGGACCUGGUAAUGUGUAAGCAUCACCAAGGCGGUAUUAGUUUUGCAGCCGUGAAGGGAUAAUAGAGACUAAUUGUGACUUGGCAUUGUGACAAGAAUAGGCCAUUGGUGAAGGUGCAGCUUCAGUAGCAUUUGAAGGCCCAGAAUUGAAGGGGUCAUGAAAAGAAAUUGAGGCUCGGCAUCAUGAAGAGAGCCAGUGAGAGAUCAUCGGUGAAAGUGCAGCCCAGUGGCAGCAAGGGACCCCAGCAUUUUGGAGAUGAGUACCAUGAGAAGAUCACCAAGAACAGUAGCUGCAGAGGGGUGGAGUCAGCCAGAGUGUGGAAGAUGAACUGUGUGUACUGCGAAGGGCAGAACCGGAUAAGGAACCCAAACCCUUUGGAGGAGUCCAGAAGAUUAUUACAACCCCCAGAGAGGCCACCAGAAACUAAAGAAGACCAGACUGCAAAAGCAAGGUUUAAUUACAAGCCAGCUCAGAACCCUCAUCUCCAACACUCCUUUGCAGCAAGAGAAAUCAGAAGAAUAUAUUAAAGAAGGCUACAAAGAUCUUGGCAGAAAUAUGAAGGAAUUUAUAUUCAAUAGAAAGCAAUUCAUAUCAAACAUUUUGGAAUCAUGGGACAACUGUAAGCUUCCAGAUGAUUCAAAUACACCUAAGGAAAAAAAUGAGUCUACACAGAUUUAUGUAACAGAGCAUUCAAUUGUGUCAUUUGAUAUUUGAAUAUCUCAUCUAUGCAAUCUUUGAGUAUCGCCAAUAUGGGAUGCAGCAUAAAUUUCUGGUAGAGCUGUUCUGGUGCUUUGUUUCACAAAGCCUGCCUUUUAUGUCCUAAAGUAGUUACUGUCUUUCUAUAUAUUAUUUUGAGGUUUUGAAUCUAAGUGCUAUGUUUUCUUUGCUUUCUUUUCCUGUAACAAAAAAAAAAUUCUAGGUUGGAGUUCAUUUUUGCUUACACUCCCUUGUCACAGUUCCAUCCCAAAAUGAAGCCAGAGCAGGAUCUCACGCCUUACAGGAAUCUAGAGGCAGGAACUGAAGCAGAGGUGUGGAGAAAUGCCGUUUACUGGUGUGCCCCCAUCCCUUAUUCAGCUACCUCCCCUUUUCAACAAUGGCCCACUUCUUUACGGGGACACCACCCAUAGAGAGCUGGGCCACUCUGUAUCAAGCAGUAAUCAAGAGAAUUCCCCCAAUAGCAUGCCUAAAUAUCAGUCUGGUAGAGCCAUAUUAUCCAUUAAUGCCCUUUCUUUUCACAUAGGCAUCCUUGCUCAUGUCAAGUUGAGAAAAACUAACCAGCACAGUUAUUGCUUGUCACUGUGACCUGCAAAUACAUGACUAUUAAUGUGUAACCUUACAUGUUUAUUUGUCCCUAAAUCCUCUUACGAUCACAAUACAGCCAGAUAGUGGUGAUAUGCACAUUUAAUCCCCGAAUUUGGGAGGCAGAGUCAGGUGAAUCUUUGAGUUCAAGGACAGCCAGGGCUACAAAACCAAAAACCAAAACAAAUAAAUAAGUAAAUAGAUUACAAAAAUAUAGAAAUUUUUUGUAGAUUUGCAUAAUCUAAUAUUAGAAAUCUCCCAGUGUUCAAAUUUCAUGCAGUUUAAAUGCUCAGGCUCUUUUACAAUUCAGUAUCUCUUUAAAAGACCAAUAGGUCUCUAUUUUCAGUUCCUGAAAAAUCUUAAGUUUGUACUUCUCUUUUUUAAAUAGGAAGAAGGAUGAACCAAUGCUGGCUUCUGUACAAGGCUUUUUCUUUUGGACCACCGAUCAGCUCCUAAAUCGUGACAUGGAGACUACUUAUUAGUGUUGAAAGCUUUACCUUAACUUAUGUUCAUUCCUAGCUAGCUUUUAUAUCUUAAAUUAACCUGUGUCUCUUCAUCUACAUUUUGCCUUCAAACUUUUUACCUUCUCUUUCUGUAUGUCCUAUUCCAUCUUACUGACUGGUAGCUACCUGGUUGCGUGACCCCGGGCAUCUGCCUUCCUUUCUCCCUCAUUCUCUCCUUUCUUCUUCUCUUCUUCAUUGAUAUUCUCUCUCCCCACCAGCCCUGCCUAUCCUGCUCAUGCCUAUCUAUUUGGCAUUCAACUUUUUAUUAGACCAAUCAGGUGCCAUGGCGAACAACAACACACCUUUUCCUAAUUAAACAAAUGCAGCAUAAACAAAUGUAACACAUCCUUACAUCAUUAACAAAGGUAGCAGAAACAAAGGAAUUACACAUUUACACAGUUAAAGUAAUAUUCUGCAGCACAAGCAAAUGUAACACAUCAUUGCAUAGUUAAAUAUUUCACAACAGACUUUGACUCAGAUCAAAGUAAAACCCCCACCUCUACAUUGUAAAUUAUGACCUCUAAUCCCAUAUCUGCAAUGCACUCACAAUGUUCUGAUUUCCUAUGUCUCUUGCAUGAUCCACCCUUUUGGUUUUGCCAUGCACAGAACACAUAAUUUGUCUGAUAGUCCCAAACUCACUCCACUCCUCAGUUGCUUCAGUCCUUAGAAAUGAAAGCCUUUCCGUGGUACUAUCCUCUCUACUAUGCCAUAGGCUCAACACAUUGCUCCUUCAAAAAUGGCCUAGCCUUUCUUCAACCAUCCUAACAUAUUGUGCCAAGUCUCAACUUCUCCAAAACCACUUCUAUCCGGAUAUUUCCAAUUCAACCAAACCUACACCUUCAGUACUGGCCUCCCAUGGCCUUUGAUGGUGUUAGUCUCAGUUUCUUUCCAAGACUCCUGCAAACCAGCAGCUCUUAUGAUGCCAACAGCACUAUUGGUGAGGAAAAAAGCUUACAAAUUGUAUUCUACAGCAAACUUGAGAUAUAAGCUUGGAAUACUCUGGACCACAUGUCUAUGCACUAACUGAAAUCCCUUAAUAUUUCUCUUAAAUGAUGCUGUUUUCUUGUUAAUCCCAGAUCAUUCUUUAAGACCAGAAGAAAAGAAAGCACAGAAUCUUUAUGUAAAAUAUCACAGAAACUGCCUCAGUAGAGUUUUGAUGUUGCCUCCAUCAUUCCUGGAAAUAUAUAAGCCAGACUUCCAUUUUUUCUUUAUUCCCAGCAUUCCUAUACUCAGGGUUCCAGGAAAAGUUCAUUAUCCUCUGAGCAUUUAAUGAUUUUUCCAGUUUAAUGUUCCAGGCAUUCUCCCAGUCCUCAUUAAAACUACAAUGAGCUCUGAUAGCAGUACCCUAUGAACCUGGUAGCAAAAUUCUAUUGUAGAGUCUUCUCUGUUCCUGUGAUAAACACCAUGACCAAAGUCAUAUUUUGGAGCAGUGAAGCUUAUUUUGUCUUACCCUUCAAUGUUACAGAUAGUCCAUCCAGGGAAGGCAGGGUUGGAGCUAAAAUUAGGCAGGAAACUAGAGAGCAGAACUGAACAGAAGAAUAUGGAGGACUACUGCUUACUAGCUUGCUCCUCAUGGGUUACUAAGGUACCUUUCAUAUAAACUCACACCCAUUUACUCAGGGACACAUUACUCACCAAAGAAUAAGCCCGCCCUUAUCGAUGAGGAAUGAGAAAAUGCUACCACAGCCUGGUUUCCAGGUCAAUCUCAUUGAGCCAUUUUCCCAAUUGAGGGUCCCUAUCCUAAGAUGACCCUAGCUUGUUUUGUGUUGAUAACUAACUAACCAAUACAGGGUGAGUAUUUAGAAUGUAAAAAUGCCAGUGUUUUACUACUUUUUGUGAUUGUUAUGAUUGUUUCUUAAUGCCAGGACCUUUGCCUUCAUGGUCACUCCUUUUACGUUUAUUAAUUAUUUUAUGUGUAUGUGUGCAUGUGUGCACCACCUUUGCAAAAAACAUGUGUGGGGGCCAGAAGAGGGCAGCAGAUCAUUCAUAUCAAGAAUAACAGGAACUUGUGAGGCCUCCACAGGAAUGUUGCCCAUCAAACUUUGGCCUGCUGGAAGAGCAAGAAUUGUUCUUAAUCCCUGAGCCAAUGUUACAGCUCCUUCAUAAUUCUUAUAGAAGUCAACACUCUACUCCAUUACACAUGCCAGGGUCUUUAUUGUAGUCCAUAUUGUCUCUAACAUUGGUGGCAUUCUUCUGUUGUUCCUGAGAUAGUAUAGUUGCAGUGCUUGACACAAGCCAGCCUCCAACAUUUCCUUUGUUCACAGUAAUGCUCUUUUCAACUUUUGCAGAACUCAAGUAGUUUAGAAAGACCAUAGAAACAAAUGUGAAAAUCAGUGUGAUGAAAUUGGAGAAACAAUCACAGAGAAUAUGGUAAAUGAAGACAUGCCUCCCUCAAUAAGAGUGCAUGAAAGCUGAUUGCAUGUAAGAAAUGUCAUUGUUCAUUCAUCAUUACAGGUGUACCUCAAAAAUAAACUUGGGGGAAACAAUCUGAAUAUAUAGGAGCUGUGGCAAAGACUUUUAUACAUCAGAAACUUUGGAAAGGUAUCAGUCAUUCUGAAUCAUUUUAAGUACUUGAAACUUCCCCUACAGAGAAACCAUGUAAAAAUCAUGAAGCCUGUAGGAGUCUUCUUUUUGGUCAGCCUCAGGAGAGAAAUCACACUGGAGAUAAACCUAAUGAGACUGUCUUAAGGAUAUACCCGUAAGGCCAGAAUGAUGAAGGAAUCCAUACAGAAGUAGAACCAUUUAUGUGUAAGCACUGUGAAGAAUGCUUCAUUGAAUCCAGUGGCCUUAGCAACCAUGAGAAAAGUCAUGUUAGAGAGAAAAGUUAUGUUCAUAAGCAAUGUGGGAAACAUUUAAAUAUUCUAAAUAUGUUGAAAAACAAAGUAACUCAUAGAGGAAAGAAAUUUGUGUGUGUAAGUGUUGUUUCAAACCAUCAUCAGUUCCACUUACUCUAACAUUAAUGAAAUAAUUCACACUGGAGAGAAGCCUUAUGCAUGCAAGCGUUGUGGAUAAACAUUUAUCAGAUACACUUCUCAAUACAUUAGCGAAAGAAUUCACAGUGGAAGGGAGGUUUAUUCCUGAAAGCAUUAUAGACAACUUACUGUUUCUACUCAUUGUAACAUUCAUGAAAUAACUCACACUGGAGAGAAACCCCAUGAAUUUACGGCAAAAACUUAGGCUCUUUGGAGGUCUUGUAACACAAGAAAACAGUAGAAUGCAUGUAAACAUUGUGGGAAAGACUUCACAAGUUCCACUUGCCACUGGAGGCAUAAAAAUAUUCACACUGGAGAGAAUCCCUUUAUAAAAUGUGAAAUGUGGAGGCCCAUGUUAGCUUCCGCACUUUUCUGUGGAUACCCAGGCCUAAUCCAGGAGCACGCUUUCCUGAACCAGGGCCAC
This is a non-coding RNA of Myodes glareolus (Bank vole), 6340 nucleotides long. NCBI's taxonomy places the organism in Eukaryota, Metazoa, Chordata, Mammalia, Rodentia, Cricetidae. The record is from RefSeq and is a predicted model, not a curated record.